Molecule: long non-coding RNA, 6199 nt
Organism: Cynoglossus semilaevis (tongue sole)
Lineage: Eukaryota; Metazoa; Chordata; Actinopteri; Pleuronectiformes; Cynoglossidae
Exons: 3
Source: RefSeq, a predicted model, not a curated record
CCAAAGAAAUUCAGUUUAGCACAGAAACUGAAAACAUCAACAUGUCAGCUAACAGACAUAUAAUGUUAAAGCAGUGGUCAAUUUAGUAGUCAGUAUAUUUUUGUUGUUUUAUAACAUUCUGAAAAUGAAAUGAUGGGCCCUACAAGAUACCAAGGCCAAUAACUGGCCCCCGACCCAACUUUGAACAUCUAUAUCAGAACGAAGGACACAUUAUAUCAAUACUGUGACUACAACGAGGUACUUAGUGCGGUUGAAUAAAUCACCAGUGUAAGUUGAACAGAAUAAAACAAAGUUUUCUUGCUGAAAAUAACAAAACUAUUUCUCUUUUCUUUAGCUAUUAACCUUUGAGUUGAAGACUUCUGCCUUUGGACCUUUUGACAGCGCUCUGGUUAAAGUGUCCGCGGUGAUGGAUGUGUUGUUCUGCUGCAGCCAUUCCUCACAGGUGAAUGAAAUAUUUAAGCCAGACAUUUGCAAGAUAAACUGCUGUUGUCCUAUUUUAAUAUGUCACCGGCCGCCUCUCUCUGUCUCUGUCUCUGUCUCUCUCUCUCUCUCUCUCUGCUCAGAGCUGAUGAAUAAUAUAACAGUGUGUGCUGGUCUGGGUGUGUAUUGUAUAUGUGUGUUGGCGUGGGCUCAUGUGUGCAGGGAUGAGCAAAAAAUGUUAUAACAGAGCACUUUGAAUUCUAAUCUCUAAAGUCUAACUGAAUUCACUCACCAUUGAUUAUAGAUUUAUGGCAUUGUUGGGAAGUGUUCUAACUUUUGUGGAAAUCAGCUAGCCAAUCAUUCUAGAGAUGUUGGUCGUCGUAAAAUUAUUUCAACAUCCCAGAGAGGAAAGAACUGAAUCUCUGGACAGGUGAUGGAAGGAGAAUCGGUACCGUGAGGAAAGUAUGACCAGUGCAGGUCCAUUCAUGCACAGUAACAGGAGAUGCGGAUACGCCUCGCUGUCAUCUAUAUCGGAGUAAACGUUACAUCAAAUGCACAUAAUGCACCAAUAAGAGGAGGAGAUACAUUUAUGCUGCAGGAAAUGGAUUACUACAUCCUGGGUGUUGUGAGAGGAGAGAGAUAACGGUGCCGUCAGCUGCAGCGCUUCAGACAUGUUCUGUUCCCAGAUAUCCAGUCAUCUUCACUUUUCAUCCUCCCUUAAACAGAUAGCUCGGCAGUAAAAACUAAAUAAAUAAAGCAGCUCAGCACGGCUGCUUGACCAGCGCUGCAAAUGCUUGAGAGGAAAUACUGGAUAACCAUAAAAGCUGAAGCGAGGACUUAAUAUCACGUACUGACUGUAAAGUUGGGCUUUAUGCACACGAGUCCAACUUUCAAUCCCUGGCCAUCUGUCGAGGUAUUUGCCUCUUAGGGAAAACUGUCAUUUUAGCUUUUUUCUCCUGCAGCGUCAAAACACCUGCCACAGAAAAAGACGCAGAGUCAUGAUGAGGACUGUCAUCAAUGUCUCCACUGAUGACAUCAAAGAAGGAGAGGUUACUGUUUUGAACUUCAAAGUUCAGGACUUUAAUUUGAGAUUAUAAAUACUUUCAUCAGCCCACCAUUGAAGGGAAAUUCACAUUCAGCACAGCAGCUGUGGACCACAGUGACCUCUGGUCUGAACGGAUCAAUGAUGUCCUGCAGGUGACUCCAAGAAGGUAGAAUCAGACGGAUGGAGACAUGAAUCAAACCAGUAACAGAAUUAACCUGGAAGAACUGGUGUCUCCUCUGGCUUUCACAACGUUCCGCCACUGUCAGGAAUUCAUGACAACUGGAAAAUUCAAUCAACUUGUGGACCAAGGACCAGCAGACUGAAAGCCCUGCCUCUGUCAGUGACAUUUCCAGACCUGAACCUUACUGCAGACUUCAGAAAUGUGAUCAAGAGGAAGAGUGAUGAUGAGUAGGAUCCAUUUAAAAAGGAGGAGUUUUUCACACCAGAGGUCGAACGACAUCAACCAACAGAAGGAGUUUACGGAAAAUCACCGGCAAGGACAGCGUUUUUUCACCAAAUGUAAAUAUCUGUUUGCUUAUUGAAAGUACUGCAACGAAUAUUCAAGUAUAUCUAUAAAAUGAGUGUCAUCAGACGCCACUCCAUUGCAUACACACACUCAAAUCCAUACUACAGUGUCCAAUUAAACUAUUUGUUAGUAAUAGCGAGAGAGACUGCGGCAACCCCUUCCACUCCCCAAAAACACAUAGGUAACCAUGGUAACUCCAAACAGAACUUUUCCCACAUGAAAUAUCCAUCCAUCCAUUUUUAUCCACUUAUCCGUUACCAGGUCGUGGGGCUACAUGAAAGAUCAGAUUUUUUUAUUAAUUGUAGUGUACUGCUAGAGGGAGCUGUUGGGAAACAAAUGGUCCUAUUCCAUUGGGUGUGAUUAGUCGGUAUUUUCAUUGUAGGCUGAAAAUACCUCGCUUACAAAAGUCCAAAGUCCAACAAAUGCCCUCAGCUAUCGGGGUCCAUCUCUAUUCUCCUGUUUGGCUCUGACCAUGUGACACACCCAGGCGGCCAGCCCUAAGUCAAAACCGAGCUGCAGCCGAAGCAAAUGUUGCAUGUCUAAAUGUGGUUACUGCUGCUGGCUCUGCUGCCGACACAGGUUCCCCCAGGCCCAGUCCUGCCCCCGUACACAGCAGCCUCUAAACUUCCAGUUAAUUACCUGGCCGAGCAAACUAAUUUCCACUCUGCUCAGUGAGCCCAUCCCCACCGGCGUGGAAUAAGAGGAUGAAGAUUGUUCUCCAUGCCACAGAUUUUUAUGUCUGCAGGAUGAAGGGGACCACUGUACAACAUUUGUCAUUUUCCUCUGGGGUUUGGGUGGAGUGACACUCAUGCAUACCAUAGACUGUAAAUAAAUGAUGGAUGUUCUCUGCAGCGUCUAUUGCACAUCCAUGUGUCCUGGAGGAAGGAUUUUUCCAUGUUGUUAUUCAGUUGGAGAGUGUGAAGAACUGUUCUGCCUGAUCAGUGUUCUGGUCUUGACAAACAUCUGUGCCCACCAAGGGGCCAUGCCCCACACUUUGAGAAAGGCUGCAGUAUUGUGCAAGAUGCACACAACACAGAGGCAUUGUGGGACUUUAUCAAGCGGCAGCGGCUGGAUUAAAAGUGACAAUGACAUACACCAGAGGCUGAUAAACAAAAAGCUAAUCAUGCGCUCCUUGGUUAAUGGCUGCCCCGAUGACCCAUGUGCAACAAUGUUUGGGAUAAUUGAUCUCAAGUGUGAUUAGAAAUUCAAACAUUAGAAAAACACACUCAGACGUGACAGUUUCUCCCAGGUGGAGCCGAGACCAAUCCUGUGUGUGAAGCUACCUCAGCUCCAUAUUUGGGGAUUUUAAUCUUCUCUCAUCUCAUUUCUGAUAAAACCUCGGCAUCACGUGACUCAUUCAGUCACUCUUCACAACACUGAGCCUCAGGUUCAAACAGUAAUGAGUGAAUUCAGAUGAGACUGCCUGGAAAUAAUUCAGUUCAAAUUGAGUUAGAGCAGCCUGUCACUCACUGCCAUCCUUUCAUGCCAGGCAGCUGUGACCAACAUGAGAGUUUUAUGGUGCUGUUCAGACUGGAAGACUCCACAUUUUGUCAACCCAGCCACUUUACACCCAGUGCCUUGACAGAUGAGCGAGGAAGAGGAUGGAGCGGAGUAAGAGGUUGAGGUGAAGAUGUAUUGAAGAAUGAAAGAAAGAUGGGGGAGGGUUGAAAAAGGCCCAUCAACCACUCCAACACUCAUUCAACCUUCUGCCCAGCCUGGCACUAGCACGUCAUCCUGCCUUCCUUGGGGGGCGGGGGGUUUGUCAUCAGAGCUUUCUUCCUUUCUGACAGCUGCUGGUUCUCACUGGCAGCCAAUUAGGAAAGAAAGAGAUGUUAAAACAGAGAAAGAGGAGGAGGAGAGGGAGAAGAGCAGGGAGAUCAGCUUCCUCAGUGGCAGCGGGAGAGGAAGAACAUUAUCUUUGGCCAAAGCCUCAGUGAUGAUUUCCUGUUGCACUGACAAGCGCCAGCUCUUCACAACAACCACUUCAGGAGCUGGACCCUGUGCACUGAGGCGACGGUUGUCAACAUGAACAGAAUCAGUGACACCACGUGAUGAUCUUUGCUAAUUGAAUCUGAUAGACUUCAAGUCCAAGUCCGGGCUGGUGGUCUGUGGAAACAUGCUGCUGGAUUUACUUCACCGCCGGGGAAAUAAAUAGAAGUGAAGCACAAGUUCACCAAAUAGUUCCUCCAAAGUUCCUGCAGCACAGAACUGAAUCACCACGAAACUGACUACGAGCAGCACUUGUCACCGUUGAACCGCCAGUGUGACAGUUUGUGUUUUGAUACAAGCAGAAAGUGUGGAAUAUGAAUAUGCCACUGUCUUGACCUGUGAUGGACAGUAGAACUGACACACGUCAGGUCAAGUGGGAUUGACCCCAGCUCUGCCUGUGACCUUUGACACAAGCAAAAGAAGAUGAAUGAAUGGAUGGGUGAAUGAAUAAAUGGGUAAAUGGAUGAAUGAGUGAAUGGAUAAAUGGAAGGAUGGAUGAGUGAAUGUAGUUUUGGUUCUAUGUCUCUUUCGCGUCAUUUCAUUACAUGAGAUGAUUUGAAACCAAAUUUUGUGUCACAUCACAAGCUAUUUUUUCAUUUGUAAAAGAAAAUACUCCACGGACAUUGACGUCCCUCCUCCUCCUCCUCCUAACAAAUCACACGGCCAGAUUAUGACAUUUAAAGCUGCACACUCACAGUCUUUAAUCCCUUAUGUGUUGACUGAGGUGUGAUAGGUCACACACACUAAAACAUCUAUCACCAGGAGGCGCCGCAGAAUAUUAUGGUCUAGUCUCCCAACCGUGAAAACAUAUGUGAAUGACACGGUUAAUGGUCCGUGCAAAUCGACUUAAUUUACCUUGAUUUAUAUCUGGUGCUGUGAUCGGUGCCGGGCCUUUCUCUUCCCUCUCUGUCUCAGACAGGAUUACUUUUCCUCUUUUCCUGUUUGUGUUUCUUAUCACAUUAUUUUUAUAAUCUCCCCAGAGUCUGUCAUGGACUGAGGAAAGGACUCUCUCUGCCUCACAGAUUAGGACCAAGUUAGUGUGUGAUAUGAGAAUCAGUCAAAACGUCCUUAGACAGAUGUGUUGAUUUCUACUGUUAUUAUGUCAAGUGUUGAACUGUUUUAACCAAACCUGAAUGGAAACCUGUUCCGGUGAACAUCAACAGGUUUGGAUCUAGAACCAUCUGACCAGCCUCGUUCUUUUGAGUUCAGCGGACUGGAAGAAAGUCCAGGUCCACUUGUUUUAUCACCAGGAUAAGGACAUUACAUGGUCUAAACCACUGGUUCCUAAACCUUUCUAAGCCAAGGGCCCCCUAACAGCAUUAGCUUCUGACUGGAGACCCCUUUUCAAAUCCACAGAUAAUGCUACAAAAAUCUAUGUUCUGACUUUUAUGCACAAUUCAAUAAUUAAUACAUUUUUAGCAUAAGAACAUUAUUAAUGAAUUACUAAUACACAGUUUUCUAAGGCCCUCCUAGCGCCACCCGGUGCCCCCCACUUCAGAAGCCUCUGGUCUACAUCGACAUGUGAUGGGACAGACUUCUUAGACCUGUGUUCUUUUUGGUCUAUGACACUUCCAUUAUUCCCCACUAGAAGGUGUCAGAUACAUGUGGUCCAGAUGUUCAAAGCUAAAGAACUGAGCUUGUUGUUAGCUUUCGAUUUGGACAUACAUUAAAAUGCAUUCAUUUGCAUAAAAUAAAUGGAUUACGUUCCCCUUUAAGGAACGUUGUUGUGUUUCUUCAGGUUCUUUAUGUGUGCCGCUGUUUGAUAAUACAAGGGCACUGGUUUUCCCACACACAGCUGUCCGUCUUUCCCCAGUGACUCUUCAUUUUCCCAGUGAUCAUCUGAGCAGCUUAAGCUAAUAAGCAGAACUUGUGAUUGGUAAAGCAGAAAACAAGAUUAACUCUCGUCUUUUUUUCCCCCUUCUUUACCCUCAGCAGUGGACGGAUCUCACGGGUUUAGAGGGAGUUGAGAGCCUGAGGCUGAAUCACGAGAAGAACAUGGUUCUGUUUACACAGAUCAAUGCAGGGCCAUGUUUGAUAUUGCAAUCUAUUAUUAUGAACCAUCAGAAUAAACAGGAACUACCUCCAGGACUGAGGGACUGAACCGGAACAUCUGUGAGUUUGGACCAUAGGGGGCAGCAGUUAAAAGAUGCUCCUAUGAUGUGGUGACAGAUCCUCUCCAGUUGGCCUUCGCUGCCCAUCUCUCACCGGGCUGCCAAACU